CCCUUAGAUGUUCUGGGCCGCACGCGCGCUACACUGAUGCAUUCAACGAGUCUAAAACCUGCUCUGAUAGGGGUGGGUAAUCUUUUGAAUGUGCAUCGUGAUUGGGAUAGAUGAUUGCAAUUUUUCAUCUUCAACGAGGAAUGCCUAGUAAACGCAAGUCAUCAGCUUGCAUUGAUUACGUCCCUGCCCUUUGUACACACCGCCCGUCGCUCCUACUGAUUGAAUGAUCCGAUGAAUAUCAUGGAUUGAGGAUUAUAGCAGGUUCGCCUGUCUUGAUCUUCGAGAAGUGAAGUAAAUCUUAUCAUUUAGAGGAAGGAGAAGUCGUAACA
RNAcentral lists this ribosomal RNA (329 nucleotides) under uncultured eukaryote. RNAcentral's name for it is "partial 18S ribosomal RNA". It matches the Rfam family "Eukaryotic small subunit ribosomal RNA", at positions 1470 to 1796 of the family's 1831-position model. The record is from RNAcentral.